Molecule: small RNA, 120 nt
Filed under: Arabidopsis thaliana (thale cress)
Lineage: Eukaryota; Viridiplantae; Streptophyta; Magnoliopsida; Brassicales; Brassicaceae
Description: ATSL282460
Source: RNAcentral
UGUUUAGGUAUGAAAAUUGUUUGGACCGGCUCUAACCGAGAUAAUUAUUUUAAACUAUAAAUGGAAUUAUGAAGCUUGUAUACCUUCCUAUCCGCUUCAACUUAAAAAAUCGCAUAUAAU